UGCAUGAUCAAAGCCUUACUAUCCGGAUAAAUCACGUUUAUCAAUCAGAGGGAAAGCGCAUAUGCAUAAGGUGAUGAAAAUAACAUAAGGCUGAUGAGGGUUAAAGGUAUGGGACAGACAGUGCUUUUUAGGUCAAAGAAGGCUGUAAUCAGUGCAGGAUGAGAUUUGUAGGAUGAGUGGAAGAAACAGGACUUGAGCUGAGUAGGAGUUAGAUAAGGCAGGGUUGGGGAGGAUUAUUCAAGGGAACAGCCAGGAUAGUGUAUGCAAAAAGUAUCAAGAUAGGAAUGCACAUGGCCUGUUCCGAGAACAGUGAGUCCAUCACUGGUCACAGAAGUGUUUCUGUUCUUUGAGAAAGUAUCCAAAAAAAAUCAGAAUUAGUAACAGAGUUUGAUCUUAGCCUAUCAGAGCCCUGACAAAUAUUGUUAUAAGAAGUUAGGUUUUCCUCCUGAUGCUGCAGUAUAGGUGGAAGGUUGAUCAGGAGAGCCAGUUCCACUUCUUGACUUUGAAGGGAACAGUACCAAGAGUUCCUGAACACCAAAUUUCUGGAGGAGCAUCGCAUUCCUGCACCUAGGAUGGUGCUUGUGGCUGGGGAACUGGAUCAAGAUGUCUAGGGACCCAAUCUUUGUCCUCUGCUAAGACUGUAAGUUACUCUGAUAAUGAAAUUCUGAUGGAAAGGGGCUGCUUCUCCAGCAACCUCAAGUUAAUUCCUUUCUAAAAAGAGCCAAACCCUUCAAGAAGAAUUAAAUCUGCAUAGUGUGGGAUUUUUUUGGGGGGGUGGGGUGAGGAAGCAGGGAGGGAAUUGGGAUAUACGGAAAUAUACAGGUAGACCCUCUAGCAAUUCCAACCUUCUGUGGGAGUUCCAGUUCUUAGGGUAGCACUAUAAAAUGAGGCCAAUAUAGGUCUCUUGGGUAGAAAGUGGGAGUCUUCUCAGGGAAGGAUAUUCUUGAUUGUUAUGGGCUCUGGUGGGUUCUUUGUGUUUCCUGCAUUUUCUCUGUGGGAUGAAAAAGAAAAAGCUGUCCUGUAUCCAAUAUUAUCACUUUGAGCCCUGGCAUGGGAGUUAAGAUUCUUUUGCACAAAUCUGUGGAGACCCAAGUAAGGAUUAUAUUUUGAGAUUCCCAGAAGAUAUUCUGGGUGGUGACAAAAUAAGGCAAAGAUACAUGAUUUAGGCGCCGUCCCCCGAGAUUGGACCUGAUCCCUAUUAACUCCAGAAAUUGGGGGCGGCUUGGACCCUCAAUGAUACACAAUUUCCAUAAAACUAAAUAGUUCCCUCUUUGAAGGAGCAUGUCUGUCUAAGAUUCCCUGACUUAAAAUUUCAGCAGUCUGGGUGAUUUUUUUUUUCUAACUCACUUGCUACAAUUUAGAUUCCCACUUCUGUGGUGUACAAGAGUACAACCAAGAAUGAGAUUACUAGAGGUAGAGUAAAUAGGAUAGUCCAAGCAGAUAAUUAU
This 1448-nucleotide long non-coding RNA is filed under the name Monodelphis domestica (gray short-tailed opossum). RNAcentral describes it as "lncRNA (ENSMODG00000042785.1)". Lineage: Eukaryota; Metazoa; Chordata; Mammalia; Didelphimorphia; Didelphidae. The record is from RNAcentral.